AAAAGAAAAAGACAUGAACAAAUUAACCCAAAUAAAUUUGUAGAAAACCCAAUGGUAAAGACGAUAACCCUGAAAACGGCCAAACAACUCCUAUCUCUCUGUCGACACAAAAGGGGAUACUGAUAAAACCGUUUUUCCUCUUUGGUUUUCGGGCCGCCGACAUUUGCCGGUGGUUCUAUUUUGUUUCUUGCUUUAUUUUUCUUCUGUUUUCAAUAAUUGUGAUGGGGAAUUUUCUGUUAUCUCAGAUUGUUCUCAGAUUUAUUUUCUUCAUUCGAUUUCUCUUCACCUUUAUGGUGAUGAUUGUAAUUCUCUUUGUCGAUGAUAUGGUUUUCUUGGGACAUCUCUCCCACCCUUCCGCAGUUAUCCCCACACUGAAACCCAUGAUUCGAUGUGAUGCAGUCUUGUUCUCGCAGAUUUACAAAUAUAAAUGGAGAUCUCGGAAUUUGGUGUCUUUACAACUAUACAAACAGAUCUACUUUGGAAAAUGGAAACUACCAUGGAAAAAGAGACAAUUCGGGAUGAAUGGAUAAUGACAAUAAGCAACUAUCUAUGGAGGAGAAUGAUCGGAAGAUGGUUUAUGUCAUGUACACAACAAUGGGUUUUAAGCACAACCAAGACCAAUGACAUCUCAUUCUAUAUGAGAGUCUCGAUCAAUCCAAAAGCUUUGUGAUGUAACAUAUGGAUCGUUGCAUAUGACUCUCAACUGCAUUACCGGUAUUUUAUCAGUAAAAAGAAGAAGAUCCCUAAGCAAGAAAGUCACACCAAAUUGACGGAAAUGACGAAGAUGAUAAAGUACUUGACUAAGAAUGCGGCAUGUAUUGCUUCAUCAUUUUUUCGUUACAAAAACAAUUGGUUGUAUUUGUAAUCUCAUUGAUAAUCAUGUAUACUUUGAUUCACAUUAAUAAAGUUUGUUUAGAUGUUAAAAAAAAAAAUGUAGAAAACCAUUACCAGUUUAUCAUGCAUCAAACCUAAGAUUGGUCAUAUACCAACUAAACAAAGUGAUAAAUGUUAUUUUCUGUAUGGCAACCCUACAGUUGUCUUAAACUUAAGAAAAUUUUGUUUAGGACUAAUACAUUUAAU
RNAcentral lists this small RNA (1080 nucleotides) under Arabidopsis thaliana (thale cress). RNAcentral describes it as "ATSL079840". The record is from RNAcentral. Lineage: Eukaryota; Viridiplantae; Streptophyta; Magnoliopsida; Brassicales; Brassicaceae.